Molecule: unclassified non-coding RNA, 2315 nt
Filed under: Leishmania donovani
Lineage: Eukaryota; Euglenozoa; Kinetoplastea; Trypanosomatida; Trypanosomatidae
Description: gene:LdHU3.36.0870(CDS-product:GPI_transamidase_c omponent_Tta2_putative)
Source: RNAcentral
UGGUGUCUGCAGACUACUCGAGCAAAAGCCGAAGGACACCACGGCUCCACAUUUUCUCCGCCCGCGUGCUUCGAAUUGUGCGUGUCUGUCGGUGACUGUGGACUGCGCGCCUGCGCCUUCGUCGGUUGUGUUUCCGCCUUGUCUCCUUGGAACACUCUCGAUUCUUGGCAAAACUGCCGAAAAGGAGCGCAUCGUCUCUUCCGCUAUCGGGCUCUCUAUUCUUUUCCAUACGGGGAGGCCUUUUGUUGUCGUCUCGUGCCCCCGCGCCCAACUCUCAGCGCCAUGGCAACCGCAACAGCCGCGAGGGCUGCGGCGCGGCCACCUGUACCCACGUCGGCGGAACGACUCCUGUUGAACCCUUUUGUCGUUUUCCUCGUAACAUUUGCCGCCCGCGCAGCACUCUUCACGUUGCGCUACUCGGUUGAGCCGUAUAUCGCUUCCCCGGUUAUUCCGCACCCAUCGCUAGAGGACAUUAUGGGGAAGGCCGCCGCCGGGGCAUGGCAUGACGUUGCUCAGUCUGCGUACGUAAGUGGCGGUGGGUCGCAAGCGGAACGACUCGUGACGCCGCCGCCUGUGCACUUCAGCAUGUCGAUCUCAAUGAUGGAGGCGUCGACGUGGCGGGAGGUGGUGUACUGGCGCGAGAGCGGCUUCGCGGAUGUGGGGCCGUACUAUCUGCAGGAACUGGCGCUGUGGUACGUGCGCUUUAUUCCGGCAGUGCUAGCCAAACCUCCAGUCACUGGACUGGUGUUGAGCGCGAUGGAUGGACUGACGGCCGCGCUCGUCUCGCGCUGGUCCUCCGCAAGUGCGGCGCUUCUGUACGCGUUUUUCGUGCUGAACCCUAUCAUGAUCCUCACCACCACAUCCGAGUCGCUCACCUCCUUCGAGUUGCUCCUGUUGACCGUAACGGUCGACCUCUGCGCUCGGCGAGCCAAGUCGGCGCUUGCGUACACCGGUGCGCUCGUCGGUGCCUUUACUCUGGGCAGCCACUUCAUCGCCGUUCCCGUGGUCCUCCUCGCGCCGCUAGGCACCCAAUCGUAUCGUAUUGCCUUCGGCGUGGCGGCGCUUCUGGCCGCAGGUGUCGGGGCCUAUGCUGUGCUUUAUCUGUACUCUACGGAGGCGUCGCAUCGCUUCGCGUCUCUUUACGCGCCGCCCGACAACGGCGUCUUGUGGUACGUGCGUCAGCUCGUCCUUCCCUCCUUUGCGCGCUGUCUUGAGGUCUUCAUGCUGCAGCUGGCGCCGAUGCUGCUCAUUCCGGCAACCGUCGCUUUCCCAGUCAGUUAUUUGCGCCAGCCCUUGUCAUCCACUGCGCACCCGCAUCUCUUCACGGACGGACGCGUGUUUCUUCUGUUGAUGGCCGAGGGCCUGUCGGUGCUCUUCCGCAACCAGCUCACUCUCCCGUACUGCUUCCUCAUCAUUUUGCAUUUUUACUCCUCCCUAAACCCCGCCGCGUCCAAGACGGUGACGCUUGAGGACCAGCGGGUGGUGACGUACUCGCCGUACAUGCGGGUUCGCCUGCUUGUGCCCAUCUUUAUCCAGAUGACAAGCAUUCCGCUGGAGGCGAGCUUUUACGCUGGGUGGGUGCUGCGCGAGACGGCCAACGCGAACUGGAAAUUUUUCUCCGACGUCGCCUUCAUGGUGGGCGCCACGGCCUUCUUUGUGCUGUGGUACACAGAGGUCGUCGAAGAUGCGGUGCUGUGUGAGAAUGACGGCGGCGCAGACGCGGUGACUUGCUCCGCCUCGCCCUUCAAGACCACAAAGACGGACUGAUGGAGUUGUGCAGUGCUGCUGGUGUUUGCCGCAGGCUUUUUUGUAUUGCGAGCGUCUGCCGAUGCCUUCUCAGGAGACAGGCGUUGAUGGCACCCACAUCCACAGCAGCGCCUCUCCCCAAACGAAACGUCUACCAGGCACAUUUCUGUUUCAAUGUGCAUAGAAGGUGAUGCGUGAGGAGAGAGAAGUGACGGUGGUGGAGAGAAAAACCUACCGCUUGCCGUAUAUCUCCGCUCUUCUCAACUUGCCUACCAGGUGACGCAGCUGCACGCGCAAAUGGCGGUGAGAGAAACGGAGAAGUGCCAACCAUGCAGCCCGACCCCCUUCAGCUAUGCUUCCCUCAACUCCACGCAUGAUGCGCGCGCCGAUUCUUGCCCCUAAGCAAAGCAAACAACAACCACUCCAAGAAGGGCAACGUGCCUCGAAGUGAAGCUGAAGAACAGUACAGAAGUGUAAGACAACAGCGCUGGUAGAUGUGGCUCGUACGGUAGCGGAGAUGAUGCACACAGGCCGUUUUUGGAUGAGGGGAACUCGUCGAAUUGCCCCCC